Molecule: ribosomal RNA, 440 nt
Filed under: uncultured bacterium
Lineage: Bacteria
Description: partial 16S ribosomal RNA
Rfam family: Bacterial small subunit ribosomal RNA
Source: RNAcentral
CCUACGGGAGGCAGCAGUGGGGGAUAUUGCACAAUGGGGGAAACCCUGAUGCAGCGACGCCGCGUGUGGGAAGACGGUCCUCUGGAUUGUAAACCACUGUCCCCAGGGACGAAGAUGACGGUACCUGGGGAGGAAGCUCCGGCUAACUACGUGCCAGCAGCCGCGGUAAUACGUAGGGAGCGAGCGUUGUCCGGAAUUACUGGGUGAAAAGGGAGCGUAGGCGGGACUGCAAGUUGGGUGUCAAAUCUACCGGCUCAACCGGUAGCCGCACUCAAAACUGCAGUUCUUGAGUGAAGUAGAGGCAGGCAGAAUUCCUAGUGUAGCGGUGAAAUGCGUAGAUAUUAGGAGGAACACCAGUGGCGAAGGCGGCCUGCUGGGCUUUUACUGACGCUGAGGCUCGAAAGUGUGGGGAGCAAACAGGAUUAGAUACCCCAGUAGUC